UGACAAACUAGGCUCAAUACUAACGUGAGAAAGUCAAUACGUCGUCUAGACUUCAGACGAUGCAUUGACUGUUUCAUCGCAAGACUAAAAAAUAAGUAAGAA
This 102-nucleotide microRNA precursor is filed under the name Manduca sexta (tobacco hornworm). RNAcentral's name for it is "microRNA mse-mir-6099 precursor". The record is from miRBase by way of RNAcentral. Lineage: Eukaryota; Metazoa; Arthropoda; Insecta; Lepidoptera; Sphingidae.